Molecule: ribosomal RNA, 445 nt
Filed under: uncultured bacterium
Lineage: Bacteria
Description: partial 16S ribosomal RNA
Rfam family: Bacterial small subunit ribosomal RNA
Source: RNAcentral
GUAGGGAAUAUUGGGCAAUGGAUGCAAGUCUGACCCAGCCAUGCCGCGUGGAGGAAGAAGGUCCUCUGGAUUGUAAACUCCUUUUUUGGGGGAAGAAUAGUUCUCUUGCGAGGGAAUGUGACGGUACCCUAAGAAUAAGCCACGGCUAACUACGUGCCAGCAGCCGCGGUAAUACGUAGGUGGCAAGCGUUGUCCGGAUUUAUUGGGUUUAAGGGGUGCGUAGGUGGUUUGAUAAGUCAGUGGUGAAAGCUGGUUGCGCAACAAUCAAGUUGCCAUUGAUACUGUCGGACUUGAGAGAAGUGGAGGUUCAUGGAAUGGAUGGUGUAGCGGUGAAAUGCAUAGAUAUCAUCCAGAACGUCGAUUGCGAAGGCAGUGGGCUGUACUUUAUCUGACACUGAGGCACGAAAGUGUGGGGAUCAAACAGGAUUAGAAACCCUUGUAGUCC